ACGGGUGAGUAACGCGUGGGAAUCUACCUAGUUCUACGGAACAACAGUUGGAAACGACUGCUAAUACCGUAUACGCCCUACGGGGGAAAGAUUUAUCGGAAUUAGAUGAGCCCGCGUAAGAUUAGCUAGUUGGUGGGGUAAUGGCCUACCAAGGCGACGAUCUUUAGCUGGUCUGAGAGGAUGAUCAGCCACACUGGGACUGAGACACGGCCCAGACUCCUACGGGAGGCAGCAGUGGGGAAUAUUGGACAAUGGGCGCAAGCCUGAUCCAGCCAUGCCGCGUGAGUGAUGAAGGCCUUAGGGUUGUAAAGCUCUUUCAGUGGGGAAGAUAAUGACGGUACCCACAGAAGAAGCCCCGGCUAACUUCGUGCCAGCAGCCGCGGUAAUACGAAGGGGGCUAGCGUUGUUCGGAUUUACUGGGCGUAAAGCGCACGUAGGCGGAUUGGUCAGUUAGGGGUGAAAUCCCAGAGCUCAACUCUGGAACUGCCUUUAAUACUGCCAGUCUCGAGUCCGGAAGAGGUAAGUGGAACUCCUAGUGUAGAGGUGGAAUUCGUAGA
This 557-nucleotide ribosomal RNA is filed under the name uncultured bacterium. Its description in RNAcentral is "bacterial SSU rRNA". It matches the Rfam family "Bacterial small subunit ribosomal RNA", at positions 102 to 694 of the family's 1533-position model. The record is from RNAcentral.